CGGGGUGUUAGGAGGGAACGGAACGAAUCCCACAACCGCCCCGGGGCCAGGUUGGAGAUUUUCAAUCCCCAGAACCGGGCUUUCAGCGUUCCUGGCCGAUCCCCCAACUGCACUCGAACCCACUUGGCAAGCCGCCUCCACCUGCGCCCAGAAAAGCAAUCCAUCUGAAAGAGGCCCCAGUGCGUGUACAUGCAGCAAUCCAACUGCGGUCGGCAAUCAUUGAGAUUGCCUGCCAGGGCAGAGGCAAAGAUGGAAGUGGUGGGGGGCACAGAGGAAUUCCUUCCAAGUCCUGGUUCAGAGAAGAGCCUCUGUUUUGUUGAUUCCUGCAUCUUGGGAGACUCCUAGGAGACCAUGCAAACGACAGAAUGGGACUCUGGCAUGACAUUCUGAAAUCGUAUUUUGGCCAGCCAUGACCUCACUCCACCACGCCGGGACCAGAAAUUCUAAGGUUUUGUGCCCUGAGAUGAAAGCCUUGCCCUUGAAACUUCCAACGAGAAUGCUUCUACAGGAUUUCCCCUUCUCUCAGCUGGAAUGUGAUGUUGACGCCAAGGUGGCCUUGGGAACCACAUGUUGAAGAUGGAAUUGCGCCAGCCUGGGGACCUGAAUGGCUUUGUGGAGCAGAAGCACACCGCCCGCGGCUGCGCUGACAACCUGGAACCGAUACGCACGCUUGCGUGAACCGAAAUAAAGUGCUGUUAUGUUUGAGCCAUUAUGUAUUUUGGUACUUAUGUGUUAUAGCCGUGGUCCUACCCUCAUUAAUAGAUCAAUAUGUUAAUAUGUAUAUUUAUCUCUGGGAUUAAUGGGAGUUUUUAGUUUUAUUUUUAUACCCUUUUGUGUUUUCCCAAACUUCUACAAUGAGCAAAAAUUACUUUUCUAAUCAGGAGGAAAUAUAGAGUUGCACCUCACUCGACAGUAGAGAUGGUCUCCUAAGAAUCUGCUUUUAAACUAUAAAUGAAAUAUUUCCAAUUCCUUUUAUACCAUUUGACUGCCUUCUUGCUGACCCUCCAUGCCUCAUCCAGGAGUACAAAUUCAUUAUAAACUGUAAGGACACAGAGCACCUGGGGGGCCCAAUCGUUUGGCCGAUUCUGGCUUCAGCUCAGAUCAUGAUCUCACAGUUUGUGAG
This is a long non-coding RNA of Suricata suricatta (meerkat), 1123 nucleotides long. RefSeq lists it as uncharacterized. NCBI's taxonomy places the organism in Eukaryota, Metazoa, Chordata, Mammalia, Carnivora, Herpestidae. The record is from RefSeq and is a predicted model, not a curated record. The transcript is spliced from 3 exons.